Molecule: RNA transcript, 3826 nt
Organism: Drosophila guanche
Lineage: Eukaryota; Metazoa; Arthropoda; Insecta; Diptera; Drosophilidae
Gene: BicD
Gene name: protein bicaudal D
Exons: 8
Source: RefSeq, a predicted model, not a curated record
AUACCUCUUUUUCAACUUUCUGGCAACGAAAAAAAACAACGUUUAGUUUUAGCCAGGUCGGACGUGAUUGUUUAGUUUUUGGAUUUUGCUUGAAAAUUACGCCUUCAAUUACUGCCCGUUUAAAGUAAUUCAUCCGUCUCUACCGAAACUUGUGCAACGAAAAUCCGAUACGAAGCGCCACUCUGGUUGCAGGCAACAACACAAAAUAUAUGGGCACAAAUUUGUAUAGCAAUGAAAGUGGAAAUCGUGUGAUGUCAUGUUGACGACAAAACUGUGCUCUGCCGUUUUUUGUUAAUUGAAACAACUUCCUGCGCUGCCAACUGCUGCUGUGUGGGUGUGGGAGAGUGUGCAACACGCGCCUGGAAUAGUUGUUCCAAGUGCGACAAGUGUAAAAAAACACACAUUUUGGCUUGUGGAAAAAGAAUUGAAUUGAACAGAAAUUCCAAUUUUCAUUCCACUUCACUGGAGAGUAGCACAAAAGAGAAAAGGUAAAACGCACACGCACACACCAGCGCAGCGCAGAGCUGAGAACAUCACAGUGUGUGUGUGUGUGGAGUUAUGAACGCCUCUCCACAUUUUGAAUGUGUUUGAGUAAACGGGAAACUGCAGAAGCUCCAGCGCCACCACAACCCCCUGCACUCCACGUCCGGCAUAAACAAAACGAGAGGAACAUUUUGUAUUGAUUUCCCUCCAAAAACAAAAACAGGGAGAACUAGAAAUCUACGAUUCCGCCCAAGCAACAGGAGAGUCACAGGAGGAGUCAGUGCCACGCCUACGGGCUGCCUUUACCGUCCGAUCCACCCGCAUUUCCCUUCCAACACGCCCCUAUCCACCAGCCAUGUCCAGCCCCAGCCAAACAGAGGGCAGCCAAUCCCUCGAGGAGCUGCGCAUGGAAGUGGAGCGUCUGACCCGAGAACUUGACCAGGUAUCCUCCGCCAGCGCCCAGUCUGCCCAAUAUGGCUUGUCCCUGUUGGAGGAGAAGUCGGCGCUGGAGCAGAAAUGCGAGGAGCUGGAAACUCUCUACGAUAACACACGGCACGAGCUGGACAUAACGCAAGAGGCCCUAACAAAGUUCCAGAGCUCACAGAAGGUCACCAACAAGACGGGCAUCGAGCAGGAGGAUGCACUGCUCAAUGAGUCCGCGGCCAGGGAAACCUCGCUCAAUCUGCAAAUCUUUGACCUGGAGAACGACACAAAACAGCUGCGCCAUGAGCUGGAGCGAGUGCGAAACGAGCGCGAUCGCAUGCUGCAGGAGAACUCGGACUUUGGUCGUGACAAGAGUGACAACGAGGCAGAACGACUGCGUCUCAAGUCCGAGUUAAAGGAUCUAAAGUUUCGGGAGACGCGUAUGCUCAGUGAGUACUCUGAGCUGGAAGAGGAGAACAUAUCGCUGCAGAAGCAAGUCUCCAAUCUGCGUAGCUCUCAGGUGGAGUUUGAAGGGGCCAAACAUGAGAUUCGUCGUCUCACCGAGGAGGUUGAGCUGCUAAAUCAACAGGUGGAUGAGCUGGCGAAUCUCAAGAAGAUUGCCGAAAAGCAAAUGGAGGAGGCUCUGGAGGCAUUGCAGGGGGAACGGGAGGCAAAGUAUGCGCUGAAGAAGGAGCUGGAUGGCCAUUUGAAUCGCGAGUCCAUGUAUCACAUCAGCAAUCUGGCCUACAGCAUACGCAACAAUAUGGAGGACAAUGUCAGCCAGAAUUCGGAUGGCGAGGAGGAGAAUCUAGCACUGAAACGCCUGGAGGCUGACCUGAGCACCGAACUGAAAUCUCCCGAUGGCACCAAAUGCGAUCUCUUCUCCGAAAUCCAUCUGAAUGAGCUGAAGAAGCUCGAAAAACAGCUGGAGAGCAUGGAGAACGAGAAGACUCAUCUGACGGCCAAUCUGCGGGAGGCUCAAACGAGUCUGGACAAGUCACAAAACGAGUUGCAGAACUUCAUGUCCCGCCUGGCACUAUUGGCCGCCCAUGUGGAUGCUUUGGUUCAGCUGAAGAAGCAGAUCGAUGUCAAGGACCAGACGGCUGCGCAGGACCAGAAGGAUGAACUGCAGCAGCAGCUGCGGGCAAUCAUCUCGCAGUACGCCAACUGGUUCACGCUCUCCGCCAAGGAGAUCGAUGGCCUCAAGACUGACAUUUCCGAGCUUCAAAAGGGCCUCAACUACACAGAUGCCACCACCACGUUGCGCAAUGAGGUGACAAAUCUGAAGAACAAGCUCCUAGCCACCGAGCAAAAGUCCCUGGAUCUGCAGAGCGAUGUGAAGACCCUCACGCACAUCUCCCAGAAUGCCGGCCAGAGCCUGGGCUCGGCUCGCAGCACUCUGGUGGCCCUCAGCGAUGAUCUGGCUCAGCUUUAUCAUCUGGUCUGCACUGUCAAUGGGGACACUCCCACACGUGUACUACUGGAUCAUAAGAGCGAUGAUAUGAGCUUUGAGAACGAUUCGCUUACUGCCAUCCAGUCACAGUUCAAGUCCGAUGUGUUUAUUGCUCGUCCACAAAUCGUUGAGGAUCUCCAGGGUUUGGCCGAUUCGGUGGAGAUCAAGAAGUAUGUGGACACGGUCAGCGAUCAGAUCAAGCAUUUGAAGACAGCUGUGGAGCAUACCAUCGAUUUGAACAAACACAAAGUUCGCUCCGAGAGUGGAGAUGCUGUGGAAAAGGGCAACACCGAGGAAAUGGAAGAGUUGCAGGAGCAAAUAGUCAAGCUCAAGAGUUUGCUGUCGGUGAAACGAGAACAAAUCGGAACCCUUCGUAAUGUGCUCAAGUCAAACAAACAAACCGCCGAGGUGGCUCUUACCAAUCUCAAGUCCAAGUACGAGAACGAAAAGAUUAUUGUCAGCGACACCAUGUCCAAGCUGCGUAACGAGCUCCGUUUGCUCAAAGAAGAUGCAGCCACCUUCUCCAGUCUGCGUGCCAUGUUUGCUGCACGCUGUGAGGAGUAUGUCACUCAAGUGGAUGAUCUCAAUCGCCAGCUAGAGGCUGCCGAGGAGGAGAAGAAGACACUCAAUCAGCUGCUGCGUUUGGCUGUCCAGCAGAAGCUGGCCCUUACCCAGCGUCUGGAGGAGAUGGAAAUGGAUCGGUGGGUGCAUUUGGGUCGCUAAAAGUCAGCCAUAAAUCCCCUACACAUAUCUGUCACUGUCACAUAAAGUUCUGUUAUGUUCUUCCUUGUAUCCCUCCCAAUUCCCGAGACUCCAGCAUUCGCGAAAUGCGUCAUGUGCGUCGUCCGAUGCCACAGCAGAGUGCCACACGCGGCAAGUCCUCGUUCAGUACACGUCCAUCGAGCAGGAAUCCAGCGAGCAGUAAUGCAAAUCCCUUCUAACAUAAAAUCAGCGUGCAGCGUAAACUUUUGGCUUUAGUUUAUACUUUGCUUAAGUUGUAAGUUUGUUGGAGUUCCUUCAGACAGAGAGAGAGAUUUAUAAAGAGAUCAGCCCUGCAGCAAUACACAAAACUUACUGCAGAUUGUGAACGAUUUGAGAACCAAGCUAUAACUAUUCUCCAUCUAACUACUAUAACUAUAUAUUUGUUUGUAUUGUAUUUGUAUUUAUUGAAAGUUUAGUUAGAAUGAAAGUUUUGUGUUAGACAAGAUCGAAAGGAAGCCGGAAGCAGUAAAUGGUUAUUAACGGUUAGUUACUUAAACGUCCAAUUAAUUUAAUUAAGACGAAACAAAAAGUGUGAGGUAAACGAGAAGAUAAAACGUAACGAAUUGUAUUUUUCUAAAUGCGAAUCACAUGUACUAUAUGUAUUCGAUAGCGUCCUAGUUUCAUAUCAAUUUGAUUUUUGUUAAGUUUCGCGUUGAAUUUUGAAUUUUUGUUAUCAACGCUGUGCGCAAGCAAGGAAAAGUAAAA